Molecule: non-coding RNA, 436 nt
Filed under: Columba livia (rock pigeon)
Lineage: Eukaryota; Metazoa; Chordata; Aves; Columbiformes; Columbidae
Description: Bacterial small subunit ribosomal RNA
Rfam family: Bacterial small subunit ribosomal RNA
Source: Rfam by way of RNAcentral
CAUGGGGCUGCAAGGAGGCACUGAGGCCCCAUCUAAUCGAUAACCCAAGAUACACCUGACCACUUCUUGCCAAAAACAGCCUACAUACCACCGUCACCAGCUCACCUCUUCUGAGAGUGCCACAGUGAGCACAAUCGCCCUAACCCCGCUAACAAGACAGGCCAAGGUAUAGCCUAUGAAGUGGAAGAAAUGGGCUACAUUUUCUAGCCUAGAAACUCUCACGAAAGGGGGCAUGAAACAGCCCCUAGAAGGCGGAUUUAGCAGUAAAGCGGGAUAACAUAAGCCCCCUUUAAGCUGUCUCUGAGGCACGUACAUACCGCCCGUCACCCUCCUCACAAGCUCUAAACUAUCAAUAAAUAAUAUGCCCACUUGCUAAAGAUGAGGUAAGUCGUAACAAGGUAAGUGUACCGGAAGGUAUACUUAGCACACCAAGACG